RNAcentral lists this ribosomal RNA (276 nucleotides) under uncultured prokaryote. RNAcentral describes it as "partial 16S ribosomal RNA". It matches the Rfam family "Bacterial small subunit ribosomal RNA", at positions 524 to 800 of the family's 1533-position model. The record is from RNAcentral.
UACGUAGGGGCGAGCGUUGUCCGGAAUGACUGGGCGUAAAGGGCGCGUAGGCGGCCGUACAAGUCUUGCGUGAAAGUCCCGCUUUCAAGGUGGGAAUUGCGAGGGAAACUGUAUGGCUUGAGUGCGGAAGAGGUAAGUGGAAUUCCUAGUGUAGCAGUGAAAUGCGUAGAUAUUAGGAGGAAUACCAGUUGCGAAGGCGGCUCUCUGGACUGUAACUGACACUGAGGCUCGAAAGCGUGGGGAGCAAACAGGAUUAGAUACCCCGGUAGUCCCUGA